Molecule: long non-coding RNA, 2980 nt
Organism: Astatotilapia calliptera (eastern happy)
Lineage: Eukaryota; Metazoa; Chordata; Actinopteri; Cichliformes; Cichlidae
Source: Ensembl
AGCCACAGACCCUGGUGUGGUGUAAUUGGCCUCAAUAGCAACUAAUGCCCUGGUGUGGUGUAAGUGGCCUCAGCCAGCAGCCACAGGCCCUGGUGUGGUGUAAGUGGCCUGAGCAAGAGCCACAGGCCCUGGUGUGGUGUAAGUGGCCUCAGCCAGCAGCCACAGGCCCUGGUGUGGUGUAAGUGGCCUCAGAAGCAAAUAAGGCCGUGGUGUGGUGUAUGUGGCCUCAGCCAGCAGCCACAGGCCCUGGUGUGGUGUAAGUGGCCUCAAUAGCAACUAAGGCCCUGGUGUGGUGUAAGUGGCCUCAGCCAGCAGCCACAGGCCCUGGUGUGGUGUAAGUGGCCUCAGCCAGCAGCCACAGGCCCUGGUGUGGUGUAAGUGGCCUCAGCCAGCAGCCACAGGCCCUGAUGUGGUGUAAGUGGCCCCAGCCGGUCACUCAGGCCCUGGUGUGGUGUAGGUGGCAUCAGCUAGCAGCACAAGACAUUGGAAAACAGCCAAAAGCAAUGUCGUUAAUGUGCCCUCAUUAAUGGGCAGCUGCUUUUGGUCUUUUAAUACACCCCUUCUCUGGAUCAAAAGCGGUUCAAUGACAUGAAAAUGAAAGGCUUACAGCACCAGGUAUUCCCAGGUAGUCUCCCAUCCAAGUACUAACCAAGCCCAGCCCUGCUUAGCUUCCGAGAUCAGACGAGGUCGGGCGUGCUCAGGGUGGUAUGGCCGUAAGCUGCUGGCCCCAGCACAAUGUCUCAAUUUAUGGAUUCAACUGAUUAGGUGGCAAGUACCUGAAGUUACGAAGACAAUCCUUUAACCAUACCUGCAUGUUUGCAUAAUACCCUAACCCAAAGGCUCAGUUUAGCAUUUAUCUAACAGCACAGGCCCUGGAUUGUUGAAGAUGGCCUCAGGAACCAGCACAGGGCCUGGUGUGUUGUACAUGGCCACAGCUAGCAGCACAGGGCCUGGUUUGGUGAAGAUGGCCUCGGCCAGAAGCGCAGGACCUGGUGUGAUGUGAGUGGCCUGAGCAAGAGCCACAGGCCCUGGUGUGGUGUAAGUGGCCUCAGCCAGAAGCCACAGGCACUGGUGUGGUGUAAGUGGCCUCAGCCAGCAGCCACAGGCCCUGGUGUGGUGUAAGUGGCCUCAAUAGCAACUAAGGCCCUGGUGUGGUGUAAGUGGCCUCAGCCAGCAGCCACAGGCCCUGGUGUGGUGUAAGUGGCCUCAGCCAGCAGCCACAGGCCCUGGUGUGGUGUAAGUGGCCUCAGCCAGCAGCCACAGGCCCUGGUGUGGUGUAAGUGGCCUCAGCCAGCAGCCACAGGCCCUGGUGUGGUGUAAGUGGCCUCAGCCAGAGCCACAGGCCCUGGUGUGGUGUAAGUGGCCUCAAUAGCAACUAAUGCCCUGGUGUGGUGUAAGUGGCCUCAGCCAGCAGCCACAGGCCCUGGUGUGGUGUAAGUGGCCUCAGAAGCAAAUAAGGCCGUGGUGUGGUGUAAGUGGCCUCAGCCAGUGCCACAGGCCCUGGUGUGGUGUAAGUGGCCUGAGCAAGAGCCACAGGCCCUGGUGUGGUGUAAGUGGCCUCAGCCAGCAGCCACAGGCCCUGGUGUGGUGUAAGUGGCCUCAGCCAGCAGCCACAGGCCCUGGUGUGGUGUAAGUGGCCUCAGCCAGCAGCCACAGGCCCUGGUGUGGUGUAAGUGGCCUGAGCAAGAGCCACAGACCCUGGUGUGGUGUAAUUGGCCUCAAUAGCAACUAAUGCCCUGGUGUGGUGUAAGUGGCCUCAGCCAGCAGCCACAGGCCCUGGUGUGGUGUAAGUGUGCUGUUGGAUAAAUGCUAAACUGGCUAAACUGAGCCUUUGGGUUAGGGUAUUAUGCUGCGUUCGGUGUGGGAGGCCGCGCCUCGUCCCAUCGCUUCAAUUCCAGCGGUCAGCUUAGGGGGGGUUUGAACAGCUGGUUCCGCUCUCUUAUUUCUCCGAUAAGUCAGGGCCAAGCCAGCUCCGAUCAGCAAGAACCCUGUUAUCAUGGUUCCGAAUAGGUAAAAGUUAGCUUCAUACCUGAGAGAUGGUACCUUCAAAUUCGUCCUCCAUGGUGCUUCUAUCACUAAAACAAUCCGCUGCUGUACUCAUGAUCACAUGACUUAGAUGAUUCUGAUUGGCUGCUCAAAUGCUCAUUAGGGGUGGAGCAUUUUUAUAACAUUAGUUACCAUAGGGCUUUGGAGCGUGAUGUAACGGGGUGGGCGUGGAAAGGAUUUUGGCCUGAUGCGCCAUUUUCGUGGUCAAAAUAUAUGGCGUUAUUUUUGUGCCACUAUUCUGAGCGCACGUAAAAAAAAUUUUGAACCGUCUGAGCUAGUGAUGGCCAAAUGAAGCUUUCUGAAGCACUGAAGCUUGUAUUGAAAAACGGUUCACUACUCGAAGCUUUUCAACACAGUCCUCUCUGGUGACAUCUGGUGGCCAAAAAUAUGAAGAGCAGCUUGAAUCCACAAAAUAAAACCAACCGCUUCAUUAUGAUUGCCCACACUACAGAGUGGAAUCCUGUCUGAUAUUGGGCCUCCGUUGUGUUGCUUUGAACGUGUAUUUUUUGGUGGUUAAAAUGUGUUUUAUUCGUUUAAUAAAUAGUUUUGACCAGUAAACUCUCCUUGUUUAAACAUGCACCAUGGUGUGGUCUUUCUUUGCUUGUGACUUCUUGAUGUUGGUAAAUACAAUAAUUGAAAAAUACCGCGUUACAUAUAUAUACAUAUAAUAAUGUAAAACACAUUAUGGAGUAUGCUUCUGCUGUGAGGUCUUGCCUCCAUGCAGGUAUGCAAUUAAUCGCCGGAGGGGUGUAUUUAUAAAUAAUAUUAUAUUAAGGAAAUUUUCCCAGACAUAUUUUUGACCUGGGGGUAGAAUUGAUUGUGAAAUGGAAAAGGAAAAUGCUUAUGAACUUGCAAAUUAAAAACAUGAUGCAUUGACGGUAACCCUUUUUCAUUUUUAUUUAAAAAGAGAAUUUGUUCUAGUGUGCGAUGGCCG